UUAAAAUCAAUGCAUCUGCUAUAUAAAUUAAUGCAUUCGCUAUUAAAUUUAAUGCAUCCGAAAAUAAUAAAAUUUUUGCUCCCUUCAGGAUUCGAACCCAGGAUCUGCAUUCAUCCACCAAGAUGAUGCAUCCACCGUAGAUCUUGAUGAUCGAAUGGCUUAAAAUGGUUCUCCGUUCUAAUUUUAUUUAGUGGUUCUUAUUUGAAC
RNAcentral lists this long non-coding RNA (207 nucleotides) under Salvia miltiorrhiza (redroot sage). Its description in RNAcentral is "long non-coding RNA (SMIL_LNC010119)". The record is from RNAcentral. Lineage: Eukaryota; Viridiplantae; Streptophyta; Magnoliopsida; Lamiales; Lamiaceae.